RNAcentral lists this ribosomal RNA (1500 nucleotides) under uncultured bacterium. RNAcentral describes it as "bacterial SSU rRNA". It matches the Rfam family "Bacterial small subunit ribosomal RNA". The record is from RNAcentral.
GACGAACGCUGGCGGCGUGCCUAAUACAUGCAAGUAGAACGCUGAAGAGAGGAGCUUGCUCUUCUUGGAUGAGUUGCGAACGGGUGAGUAACGCGUAGGUAACCUGCCUUGUAGCGGGGGAUAACUAUUGGAAACGAUAGCUAAUACCGCAUAACAAUGGAUGACACAUGUCAUUUAUUUGAAAGGGGCAAUUGCUCCACUACAAGAUGGACCUGCGUUGUAUUAGCUAGUAGGUGAGGUAAUGGCUCACCUAGGCGACGAUACAUAGCCGACCUGAGAGGGUGAUCGGCCACACUGGGACUGAGACACGGCCCAGACUCCUACGGGAGGCAGCAGUAGGGAAUCUUCGGCAAUGGGGGCAACCCUGACCGAGCAACGCCGCGUGAGUGAAGAAGGUUUUCGGAUCGUAAAGCUCUGUCGUAAGUCAAAAACGGGUGUGAGAGUGGAAAGUUCACACUGUGACGGUAGCUUACCAGAAAGGGACGGCUAACUACGUGCCAGCAGCCGCGGUAAUACGUAGGUCCCGAGCGUUGUCCGGAUUUAUUGGGCGUAAAGCGAGCGCAGGCGGUUUGAUAAGUCUGAAGUUAAAGGCAGUGGCUCAACCAUAGUUCGCUUUGGAAACUGUCAAACUUGAGUGCAGAAGGGGAGAGUGGAAUUCCAUGUGUAGCGGUGAAAUGCGUAGAUAUAUGGAGGAACACCGGUGGCGAAAGCGGCUCUCUGGUCUGUAACUGACGCUGAGGCUCGAAAGCGUGGGGAGCGGACAGGAUUAGAUACCCUGGUAGUCCACGCCGUAAACGAUGAGUGCUAGGUGUUGGAUCCUUUCCGGGAUUCAGUGCCGCAGCUAACGCAUUAAGCACUCCGCCUGGGGAGUACGACCGCAAGGUUGAAACUCAAAGGAAUUGACGGGGGCCCGCACAAGCGGUGGGGCAUGUGGUUUAAUUCGAAGCAACGCGAAGAACCUUACCAGGUCUUGACAUCCCGAUGCUAUUUCUAGAGAUAGAAAGUUACUUCGGUACAUCGGUGACAGGUGGUGCAUGGUUGUCGUCAGCUCGUGUCGUGAGAUGUUGGGUUAAGUCCCGCAACGAGCGCAACCCCUAUUGUUAGUUGCCAUCAUUCAGUUGGGCACUCUAGCGAGACUGCCGGUAAUAAACCGGAGGAAGGUGGGGAUGACGUCAAAUCAUCAUGCCCCUUAUGACCUGGGCUACACACGUGCUACAAUGGUUGGUACAACGGGUUGCGAGUCGGUGACGGCGAGCUAAUCUCUUAAAGCCAAUCUCAGUUCGGAUUGUAGGCUGCAACUCGCCUACAUGAAGUCGGAAUCGCUAGUAAUCGCGGAUCAGCACGCCGCGGUGAAUACGUUCCCGGGCCUUGCACACACCGCCCGUCACACCACGAGAGUUUGUAACACCCGAAGUCGGUGAGGUAACCCUUUGGAGCCAGCCGCCUAAGGUGGGACAGAUGAUUGGGGUGAAGUCGUAACAAGGUAGCCGUAUCGGAAGG